CAGCAGCCGCGGGAAUACGUAGGUGGCAAGCGUUGUCCGGAAUUAUUGGGCGUAAAGGGCUCGCAGGCGGCUUCUUAAGUCUGAUGUGAAAGCCCCCGGCUCAACCGGGGAGGGUCAUUGGAAACUGGGAAACUUGAGUGCAGAAGAGGAGAGUGGAAUUCCACGUGUAGCGGUGAAAUGCGUAGAGAUGUGGAGGAACACCUGUGGCGAAGGCGACUCUCUGGUCUGUAACUGACGCUGAGGAGUGAAAGCGUGGGGAGCGAACAGGAUUAGAUACCCCCGUAGUCCCUGUCUCUUAUAC
Molecule: ribosomal RNA, 301 nt
Filed under: uncultured bacterium
Lineage: Bacteria
Description: partial 16S ribosomal RNA
Rfam family: Bacterial small subunit ribosomal RNA
Source: RNAcentral